AGCCCGUGCGCUUGCUGUUGUGAGCGUGUAUUGGUGGUGCAGACCGGCCUGUCGGCUCCGCAGGCCAACCCAGACAUCGAGCUUCUGAGUUCAGGAACACUUCAUUAAAUGUAUUUGCUACAUGUUUGCUUCAUUAAAUUUGUUUACUUAGUGAAUGAAUUCUAACCAAAUGCCUUCAUAACUUUCUCAGUAAUUCCUGACUUGCCUCAUUUGGAAGGGAAAGAUGGAUAUAAACCCAGGCUGUUCAUGUCGCUUUAUUUGACAGGAAUGGCCACUCAUGGUGGGGCUGCCAAGGCUGCUGAAGCCAAAAUGAUAUCUGUGACCCAUUUUAAAGUUAAAGUGAUGGCAGCAUCCAUCUUUCCCCUCCCGGAAGUGCCUGUUA
This 382-nucleotide long non-coding RNA is filed under the name Homo sapiens (human). RNAcentral describes it as "HSALNT0253510". The record is from RNAcentral. Lineage: Eukaryota; Metazoa; Chordata; Mammalia; Primates; Hominidae.